CAGAUCUGCCCACCCACCACUCCGUCCGGCGACCAUACGUCACCACUGUUCAGGUGACGCCGGCGACCAGGUAUUUGUGAACAUUUUUCCGGCAGUGAACAGUACUCGACCGUGAACAGUGUUUUCCGGCGACAACCAG
This is a long non-coding RNA of Lycium barbarum (goji berry), 139 nucleotides long. RefSeq lists it as uncharacterized. The transcript is spliced from 2 exons. The record is from RefSeq and is a predicted model, not a curated record. Lineage: Eukaryota; Viridiplantae; Streptophyta; Magnoliopsida; Solanales; Solanaceae.